GACGAACCGUGCGAACGUUGUUCGGAAUCACUGGGCUUAAAGGGCGCGUAGGUGGGUUGGUAAGUCAGUGGUGAAAUCCCCGAGCUUAACUUGGGAACUGCCAUUGAUACUAUCAGUCUUGAAUAUUGUGGAGGUCAGCGGAAUAUGUCAUGUAGCGGUGAAAUGCUUAGAUAUGACAUAGAACACCAAUUGCGAAGGCAGCUGGCUACACAUAUAUUGACACUGAGGCUCGAAAGCGUGGGGAUCAAACAGG
Molecule: ribosomal RNA, 253 nt
Filed under: uncultured bacterium
Lineage: Bacteria
Description: partial 16S ribosomal RNA
Rfam family: Bacterial small subunit ribosomal RNA
Source: RNAcentral